Non-coding RNA from Triticum aestivum (bread wheat), 115 nucleotides. Lineage: Eukaryota; Viridiplantae; Streptophyta; Magnoliopsida; Poales; Poaceae. The record is from Rfam.
CAUGUACUCCCUCCGUUUGGAUUUACUUGUCACAGAAAUGGAUGUAUCUAGACAUAUUUUAGUUCUAGAUACAUCCAUUUUCGAGACAAGUAAUUUCGAACGGAGGGAGUAUUUA